Olea europaea var. sylvestris is the source of this 637-nucleotide long non-coding RNA. RefSeq lists it as uncharacterized. NCBI's taxonomy places the organism in Eukaryota, Viridiplantae, Streptophyta, Magnoliopsida, Lamiales, Oleaceae. The transcript has 2 exons. The record is from RefSeq and is a predicted model, not a curated record.
CACUUCUAUGCUUACUGUAUGCACACGACACUUUUGAUUGAUUAAGUUCUCUUCUGAAUAUCUCAUCCAACAGAUUGAACUUGAACGAGUGGUUCAGAGGAUUGAAAACCAAAAUUCAGCUGGAGAAAUUUUCCACUCUAUGGUUGAAAGUGCAUUGCAUCAAUAUGGUCGUGGCAGUGCUGAUCUUGUAACUGAAUUGUGCAGUGAAGGCAGGCUUUCACAUGAGUUCAUGCAAAUGCUCAGUCAUGACAUUUCCCAAAGACUUAAAGAUGAAGCAGGAUCAUAGGCAAAAGAAUUUCUGUUCUUUUACAUGUGAUAUGAAUGUACUUCAAGUAGUUGGGUUACUACAUGAGUGCAAAAUUUCUUAGUACGUUGUGAUUUUUGCCUGUGGUUGAUUGCUAAAAUAUAGUUACUAGAAUGUUGUGUUCUCUUUGAGAGUACGAAGAGCUGUGCAGUUGUGGAUCAAUGAAUUGACACAGAUCAUGGUUCAUUUGUAAGAGAAUUCAAUUGGACUAUUGAUAUCUCCGAGCCGUACAUCUUAACCUCUUCGAGGUUCAUUUGCUUGCUUUUGAGUUUCCUUUUCCCUGCUAUUGAACCUCGACAAAUUGAGUUCUAAAUCUGCUUUAUGUUGAUAAUC